GGAGGAAUACCCAAGUCCGGCUGAAGGGAUCGGUCUUGAAAACCGACAGGUCGCGCAAGCGGCGCAGGGGUUCGAAUCCCUUUUCCUCCGCCA
Molecule: transfer RNA, 93 nt
Filed under: bacterium
Lineage: Bacteria
Description: tRNA-Ser
Rfam family: tRNA
About the family: Transfer RNA (tRNA) molecules are approximately 80 nucleotides in length. Their secondary structure includes four short double-helical elements and three loops (D, anti-codon, and T loops). Further hydrogen bonds mediate the characteristic L-shaped molecular structure. tRNAs have two regions of fundamental functional importance: the anti-codon, which is responsible for specific mRNA codon recognition, and the 3' end, to which the tRNAs corresponding amino acid is attached (by aminoacyl-tRNA synthetases). tRNAs cope with the degeneracy of the genetic code in two manners: having more than one tRNA (with a specific anti-codon) for a particular amino acid; and 'wobble' base-pairing, i.e. permitting non-standard base-pairing at the 3rd anti-codon position.
Source: RNAcentral